CAGAAUUUGGGGGUUUUCAAGAACAAAUGGCAGUUGGUAAAAAGGAAGAAAAUAUGGCAGUAGAGAUAGUGAAGCCUCGAAUUGAUAAAAGGGAUUACAGAAGAAUUGUUCUUCAAAAUAAUCUUGAAAUUCUUCUGAUCAGUGACCCAGAAACUGAUAAAUGUGCAGCUUCAAUGAAUGUGUGUGUUGGUGCUUUUAGUGAUCCUGAGGGACUUGAAGGCCUUGCCCAUUUUCUUGAACAUAUGCUGUUUUAUGCAAGUGAGAAGUAUCCUGUGGAGGAUAGUUAUUCAAAGUACAUAACAGAGAAUGGAGGUAGUACAAAUGCUUUUACAUCUUCUGAGGACACCAACUACUAUUUUGAAGUAAAUGCUGACGGUUUCGAAGAAGCAUUGGACAGAUUUGCCCAGUUCUUUAUCAAACCAUUGAUGUCAGCAGAUGCUACAACUCGAGAAAUUAAAGCUGUUGAUUCUGAACACCAGAAGAAUCUACUCUCUGAUCCUUGGAGAAUGAACCAGCUUCAAAAACAUUUAAGCGCGGAAAAUCAUCCAUACCAUAAAUUCAGCACAGGCAGCUGGGAUACAUUAGAGGUCAGACCAAAAGAAAGAGGCAUAGAUACAAGACAGGAGCUUCUCAAAUUUUAUUCAGAAAAUUAUUCAGCCAAUCUCAUGCACUUGGUCGUCUAUUCGAAAGAUAGUCUUGAUAAAGUUGAGCAGUUGGUGCGGGGUAAAUUCCAGGACAUCCGGAACAUAGAUCGUAAUCAAAUCCAUUUUACUGGUCAGCCUUGCAUCAUGGAACAUCUCCAGAUUCUUGUUCGAGCUGUUCCAAUAAAACAAGGUCACAAGCUGAAAAUCAUAUGGCCUAUAACCCCAGGCAUACAUCACUACAAGGAAGGGCCUUGUAGGUACCUGGGCCACUUGAUUGGCCAUGAAGGAGAAGGAUCAUUGUUUUAUGUCUUGAAAAAGUUGGGAUGGGCUACAAGUUUAUCUGCUGGUGAAUCAGACUGGACUAACGAGUUCUCUUUCUUUAAAGUGGCGAUUGAUUUGACUGAUGCUGGUCAAGAUCAUUUUGAAGACAUUAUGGGUCUCCUAUUCAAAUAUAUUCAUCUUCUACAACAAGCUGGUGCGUCCAAAUGGAUAUUUGAAGAGCUCUCAGCUAUUUGUGAGACUGCCUUCCAUUAUCAAGACAAGAUUCGACCAAGUGAUUAUGUGGUUAAUGUUGCAAUGAAUAUGCAGCACUAUCCUCCAGAAGAUUGGUUGGUGGCAUCCUCGUUGCCUUCAAAGUUUAAUCCUAGCAUUAUUCAGUCAUUCUUGAAUGAACUCAACCCAGACAAUGUCAGAAUCUUCUGGGAGUCAACAAAGUUUGAGGGUAAUACUAGCAUGACUGAGCCAUGGUAUGGAACUGCAUAUUCUAUAGAGAAAGUUGGUGGUGACAGUAUCAAGCAAUGGAUGGAGCAUGCUCCCAGUGAAGAGCUGCAUCUCCCUGCUCCCAAUGUGUUCAUACCAACUGAUUUAUCACUUAAGCCCGUCUUCGAGAAGACAAAAGUUCCCAUACUGCUGCGGAAGUCACCUUAUUCAAGGUUAUGGUAUAAGCCCGAUACAGCAUUUUCAUCUCCAAAAGCCUAUGUUAUGAUCGAUUUCAGUUGCCCAUACUGUGGACAUUCUCCAGAAGCUGAGGUUCUUACUGAGAUAUUUACACGUCUAUUGAUGGAUUACUUGAAUGAAUAUGCUUAUAAUGCACAAGUUGCUGGUCUUUAUUAUGAUAUAAGCAAAACAAACAGUGGUUUUCAGUUGACAUUGUUUGGAUAUAAUGACAAGUUGAGAGUCUUACUGGAAGCAGUCAUUGAAAAAGUUGCGAAAUUUGAAGUAAAACCAGACAGAUUCUCUGUGGUCAAGGAAUUGGUGACAAAGCAAUAUCAGAAUUUCAAGUUCCAACAGCCAUAUCAACAGGUUAUGUAUUACUGCUCAUUACUGCUAAAAGACAACAUAUGGCCUUGGAAUGAAGAACUUGAAGUGCUUCCACAUCUUAAAGUUGAUGAUCUGGUUAAGUUCUAUCCGCUUUUGAUGGCUAGGUCCUUUAUGGAGUGCUAUGUAGCAGGAAAUGUUGAACAAGCUGAAGCAGAGUCCAUGAUACAGCUUAUUGAAGAUGUGUUCUUCAAGGGUCCACAGUCAAUAUCAAAGCCUCUAUUUGCAUCUCAGCAUCUGACAAACAGAGUGGUCAAUCUUGAAAGAGGUGUAAAUUAUGUCUACGCUGCAGAGGGACUAAAUCCAAGCGAUGAAAAUUCAGCUCUUGUUCAUUAUAUUCAGGUGCAUCAGGAUGACUUUAUGCUGAAUGUAAAACUUCAGCUUUUUGCUCUCAUAGCAAAGCAGCCAGCCUUCCACCAGCUUAGAUCAGUCGAGCAACUUGGUUAUAUCACUGUGCUCAUGCAGAGGAGCGACUCUGGUGUUCACGGGGUGCAGUUUAUCGUUCAGUCAACUGCAAAGGAUCCCAAAUACAUUGACACAAGAGUGGAGUUAUUUAUGAAGAUGUUUGAGAGCAAGCUUUAUGAGAUGACUAGUGAUGAAUUCAAGAAUAAUGUCAAUGCACUUAUUGAUAUGAAGCUUGAGAAACACAAGAAUUUACGGGAGGAAUCUCGGUUUUACUGGAGGGAGAUCUCAGAUGGGACCCUCAAGUUUGAUAGACGAGACCGUGAGAUUGUCGCGUUAAAGCAACUGACUCAAAAGGAGCUGACAGAUUUCUUCGAUGAAUAUAUUAAAGUCGGUGUUCCUCGGAAGAAGGCCUUAAGUGUCAGAGUCUAUGGAAGCUCACAUUCUUCUCAAUUCCAAGCACAUAAGAAUGAGCAGAUGGAACCAAAUGCAGUUCAGAUAGAAGAAAUAUUUAGCUUUCGACGAUCUCGGCCUCUUUAUAGUUCAUUCAAAGGAGGCUUUGGUCAUGUGAGAUUGUAAGAGGUCGCAUAGCAGCUCGAGAAGCCCCCCAAUGCAGUUGAUAUGUUGCGUUAGCGAGUCCAUUACAGAAGCAGUUGAUCUGCAAGAUACCUCUCUCGUAUUCAGUUGUGUCAAUUAGUCAGUUGUACGAGGGCUCGUGGUAGGCGUGUGAGUUUAAUUGCUCAACUGAUUUGAUGAUGUACUGCUUAGAGAUUUGGAAGAAGUGAAUGUAUACUGUGACACCAAUUUCUGUUUUGAUUGCUGAAUAUAAUUGAUCAGAAGACAAGAAGUGACAUGAAUUAGACCUGAAAGGAAAAUUAUUCAUUCAUGGUGUUGAUGGGAUAAAU
This 3268-nucleotide unclassified non-coding RNA is filed under the name Hevea brasiliensis (rubber tree). The record is from RNAcentral. Lineage: Eukaryota; Viridiplantae; Streptophyta; Magnoliopsida; Malpighiales; Euphorbiaceae.